This 142-nucleotide ribosomal RNA is filed under the name uncultured Clostridium sp. RNAcentral describes it as "partial 16S ribosomal RNA". It matches the Rfam family "Bacterial small subunit ribosomal RNA", at positions 355 to 513 of the family's 1533-position model. The record is from RNAcentral. Lineage: Bacteria; Bacillati; Bacillota; Clostridia; Eubacteriales; Clostridiaceae.
UGGGGAAUAUUGCACAAUGGAGGAAACUCUGAUGCAGCAGCGCCGCGUGAGAGAAGAAGGUCUUCGGAUUGCAUACCAAAGACAGGGGUGAAGAUAAAGGAGGUAGCUCCGGAGGAAGCCCCAGGCCAACUAAUAAAAUUUA